This 645-nucleotide ribosomal RNA is filed under the name Hepatozoon canis. RNAcentral's name for it is "SSU rRNA". It matches the Rfam family "Eukaryotic small subunit ribosomal RNA", at positions 199 to 831 of the family's 1831-position model. The record is from RNAcentral. Lineage: Eukaryota; Apicomplexa; Hepatozoidae.
UAAAAGCUUUAUUAGAAUAAAAAGCCAAUGCAUGCUUUUACAGUAUGAAAAUUGGUGAUUUAUAAUAACUUAGCAAAUCGCAAAGUGAAAACAGGCGAUAAAUCAUUCAAGUUUCUGACCUAUCAGCUUUCGACGGUAUGGUAUUGGCUUACCGUGGCAGUGACGGUUAACGGGGGAUUAGGGUUCGAUUCCGGAGAGGGAGCCUGAGAAACGGCUACCACAUCUAAGGAAGGCAGCAGGCGCGCAAAUUACCCAAUUCUAACAGUUUGAGAGAGGUAGUAACAAGAAAUAACAAUACAAGGCAGUUAAAAUGCUUUGUAAUUGGAAUGAUAGAAAUUUAAACCCUUUUUAAAGUAUCAAUUGGAGGGCAAGUCUGGUGCCAGCAGCCGCGGUAAUUCCAGCUCCAAUAGCGUAUAUUAAAAUUGUUGCAGUUAAAAAGCUCGUAGUUGAAGUUCUGCUAAAAGUAACCGGUCUGCUUUUAAUAAAGGUGGUAUCUUGGUGUGUAUUUAGCAAUGAUGUCCUUUGAAGUGUUUUUUACUUUAUUGUAAUAAAGCAUAUUCAGGACUUUUACUUUGAGAAAAUUAGAGUGUUUCUAGCAGGCUAACGCUUUGAAUACUGCAGCAUGGAAAUAUAAGAAGAAGAAAA